GGGGCCGACUGGUUUCGACAGCGGGCAGAAUGGAUAAGUAAGCAGGUCGAGCGUUGAGUGAGUAGCUCGUUAAUCACAACGCUAAACUUUCGCUAAAUGGCGACAAUAACUAUGCGCUUGCGGCGUAACACUCGAUAGAGGUUACACCUAAUCCAUCCCGAAAGAUCGGGAGGACAAGCUAUCUCGCAGGGGUUCCGCUCAAUAAUUCCCUGGCUACGAGGUAUCAGAAUGUUGAGAUAGUGCAUCUUUUGUCUUGCAAGGUGCAUGAAACUUAAAAGGCUAAGCAUUAAGUAGGUUGUAAAAGGCCGGCUUAGUGUCGACAAUCAAGCUUUUACUAAGCCUGUAGAAAGCUUAUUAGUUCCUCGUUUGGACGAGGGUUCGAAUCCCUCCGGCUCCACC
RNAcentral lists this transfer-messenger RNA (399 nucleotides) under marine eukaryotic metagenome. It matches the Rfam family "transfer-messenger RNA". Rfam says of the family: Bacterial tmRNA, also known as 10Sa RNA or SsrA, is named for its dual tRNA and mRNA-like properties. Its role is to liberate the mRNA from a stalled ribosome. To accomplish this part of the tmRNA is used as a reading frame that ends in a translation stop signal. The record is from RNAcentral.